CGACGAAAAUAUGCCUUUGCAUAUUCGGGGUCGCAUUCAAUAGCUUUGGAAGCAUCAUUGAUUGCCAGACCAUAAUCCUCUGACUUUAAAUGUGCAAGAGAUCUAUUGGAGUAAAGAAUUGCGUUUGUAGAAUCAAGCUCAAUGGCUUUUGUAUACAAAUCUAUAGCUUGAACGAUAUGUCCCUCUUUUAGAAACUUGUUGGCUUCAUUUUUUAAUUCCAAUGCUUCUUUAGCCAUUUUAUUGAGCAAAAAGUACAAAUUCAAGCCCUUGUGAGUUUUUGUUUGGUGGUUGAUAGUAGCUAAAAAAGUUUUUAUCUGUCCGAACAAUGCAGCUUAAUAAUUGGUAGUAUUGGGCUACAAAGAAACAGAUAUUUAGGAUUCUCAAAGAUCAAAAUGAUAUUUUUAGAACAACAAAUUAAUGGCUUUAUAAAUGCAAACUUUGCAACGCAGCAUACAUAUUAAAAAAUAAAUACAGAAUUUACACAAUGUUUUACAUUAGAAAUCUCAAAAACUUACAAGCGUAAUAAAAGCAGUUUCUAUGAAGUGUGUCUAUUCAUUUAUCUACGAAAUAAAAUGACUCGAAACUUAUAAUACAUCAAUACAUCUCAGAUGAGAAAAACUUACAAGGCAAUCAUUAUGUAAAGGAAAUAACCAUUGUUUUCUAAACACAAGUGAUACCGGACAAUCUUCGUAUAGUUCAAAGAAAGAUAACAAAAGCAAACGAGCUGUAUCCUUCUCGUCUCAAGCACAACGAGUAGAAAGUACAAAGAGAACGUUAUAUUGAUGUUAUUCGAUCUUGUCUAUAUUCCAAGAUACCCAAAUAUUUUUUUUUCCUUUUUUAAGAUCUGAGCAAUCAUCUAUCAAAUGAAAUGAUGAUAUAAGUCAUUAACAAUUUCCAAAGCGGAAAAAAACUGUUUCGUAUCGACAUGCUCAAGAGGUAGAACUCAUCGAGAAGAAAGUGAACUAUGUAGAAAUGAAAAAAGACUACGAAGCGUUAGAAUUUAAAAAUUAAAUAUUCUUUUAAAGAAUAACAAGGCCAAUGGCUCAAUUUAAUGUUUUUUCUCAGUAUCCAUCCAAGCCAAAGUACGACGAAUUCCUUCCUCCAAAUCCACAAUGGGAUGGUACUUCAAAACA
Non-coding RNA from Schizosaccharomyces pombe (fission yeast), 1133 nucleotides. The record is from the annotation of a GenBank genome assembly. Lineage: Eukaryota; Fungi; Ascomycota; Schizosaccharomycetes; Schizosaccharomycetales; Schizosaccharomycetaceae.